GCCAUGCGCGAUGAUGAGGUGAUCGCGUAUCUUCUCGCCGGUCUCGACCCUGAAUAUGAUCCCUUUGUCACCUCGAUGACAACCAAGAGUGAACCACUCACGCUUGAUGAUGUGUUUGCACAUCUGAUGGAGUUUGAAGC
Small nucleolar RNA from Phragmites australis (common reed), 140 nucleotides. RefSeq annotates it as small nucleolar RNA Z247. NCBI's taxonomy places the organism in Eukaryota, Viridiplantae, Streptophyta, Magnoliopsida, Poales, Poaceae. The transcript has a single exon. The record is from RefSeq and is a predicted model, not a curated record.